RNAcentral lists this ribosomal RNA (429 nucleotides) under Acidobacteriota bacterium. RNAcentral describes it as "Acidobacteria bacterium partial 16S ribosomal RNA". It matches the Rfam family "Bacterial small subunit ribosomal RNA", at positions 355 to 776 of the family's 1533-position model. The record is from RNAcentral. Lineage: Bacteria; Pseudomonadati; Acidobacteriota.
UGGGGAAUUUUGGACAAUGGGGGAAACCCUGAUCCAGCCAUCCCGCGUGUGCGAUGAAGGCCUUCGGGUUGUAAAGCACUUUUGGCAGGAAAGAAACGUCAUGGGUUAAUACCCCGUGAAACUGACGGUACCUGCAGAAUAAGCACCGGCUAACUACGUGCCAGCAGCCGCGGUAAUACGUAGGGUGCAAGCGUUAAUCGGAAUUACUGGGCGUAAAGCGUGCGCAGGCGGUUCGGAAAGAAAGAUGUGAAAUCUCAGAGCUCAACUUUGGAACUGCAUUUUUAACUACCGGGCUAGAGUGUGUCAGAGGGAGGUGGAAUUCCGCGUGUAGCAGUGAAAUGCGUAGAUAUGCGGAGGAACACCGAUGGCGAAGGCAGCCUCCUGGGAUAACACUGACGCUCAUGCACGAAAGCGUGGGGAGCAAACAGG